GCCUUGGCCUCCCAAAAUGCUGGGAUUACAGCUGUUACUAUCAUAAUGCCAUGUAACAAACCACCCAAAACUCAGGCUUGCUUCCUCACAAUAAGCCUUUAUUCUUACACUCAUGGGCCUAAAGGUCCAGUUUGGCUUAGCUGAUCCUCCAUUCAAGACUUGGAUAAAUGACUCUGCUUCAGGCUGUUGGAUUGGUUGGGUUCUGUCGGUGCCAAAUCCAAGGUUGGGUUUACUCUGCUCCACAUUUGAUAAUUCUCAGGAUAAGGAGCCAGAGUAAGAAAAGACAGAGGGUGAGACAGCUGUCACAAGAUCUCCGGAAAGUGGCAUCAUAUUUCACAAUUUCAUGAUGGAGUUUUGUUCUUGUUGCCCUGCCUGGAGUGCAAUGGCAUGAUCUCGGCUCACUGCAACCUCCGCCUCCCGGGUUCAAGCGAUUCUCCUGCCUCAGCCUCCCGAGUAGCUGGAACUACAGGACACUGUGGUGAGCCAGGGUGGCAUAUGGAAGAAGACAUAUCCUGGAUAUAAUGGAUCAGCGAGAUGGAAAGAGCUGGGUUUCUGGGUGACUUUGUGCAGUGGAGCCCCCUGCUUGUGUCAGACCAUCUGCCUCCUUCUGGAUUCUUAGGGUCUGGCUCUGUCGCCCAGGCUGAAGUGCAGUGGUGCAGUCACAGCCCACUGCAGCGUCCACUUCUUGGGCUCAAGUGAUCCUCCCACCUCAGCAUUCUGAGUAGCUGGAACUACAGGAAUGCACCACUGCAUGCAACUUCUUCAAUAUCUUGACGUCUUUGUUUCAAAAUCUCAUUUAUAUGCUAAUACAUUCACUUACUCUCUGGGCAAUAGAGUGUAUCUGAGACAAAUGGAUUCAGUGCUUAACCUGAGCCAAAGUUUGUAAACAAAAUUUAGAAUUUAUUGGUCAGUUAGUCGACCCUAAAAGCAAAAAAGUCCAGUCCCAAUUAGACUGAAUACAAAUGGGGCCCCAUUAACAUUAAUGCCUGAAUUUCAAUACCUCAUUAUUUUCCACAUGGAGGACCUCAACAUCUCCUCUCUACAAGCUUCCCACACUAUGUUGCAGGAUUCUGCGGUGUGGGGUGCGGGGAUGUUUCAUUUGUGUCCAGGAAAAACUUUGCUCAUAACAGAUUUGCUGCUGUUAAAGUCCCAAUGGCAAGGCUGGGUACAGUGGCUCACGCCUGUAAUCCCAGCAUUUUGGGAGGCCGAGGCGGGUGGAUCACCUGAGGUCAGGAGUUUGAGACCAGCCUGGCCAACAUAGUGAAACCCCGUCUCUAAUAAAAAUACAAAAAUUAGCUGGGCAUGAUCACAGGUGCCUGUAAUCCCAGCUACUUGGGAGGCUGAGGGGGGAGAAUCAGUUGAACCUGGGAGGCGGAGGUUGCAGUGAGCUGAGAUUGUGCCAUUAGUGCCAUUAUAGUACAGCCUGGGUGACAAAGCAAGACUGCGUCUCAAAAAACAAAACAAAACAGAACCCUGGCAUGGUGGCGGGCACCUGUAAUCCCAGCUACUGGGGAGGCAGGAGCAUCGCUUGAACCUGGGAGGCGGAGAUUGUGGUGAGCCAAGAUUGUGCCACUGCACUCCAGCCUGGGUGACGCAGUGAGAUCCUGUCU
Long non-coding RNA from Pan troglodytes (chimpanzee), 1610 nucleotides. RefSeq lists it as uncharacterized. The transcript is spliced from 5 exons. Lineage: Eukaryota; Metazoa; Chordata; Mammalia; Primates; Hominidae. The record is from RefSeq and is a predicted model, not a curated record.